GCGGGCACGGGUCGCUCUCCCUUUUCCGCUCCCGCCGCCAUGAGGGGUGGCUGUCCCUCGCGCGGCCCCGCCGAUGAAGGUAUAUCAGCUACACUCCUUCCUCUGGCUUCAGCGCAGAUCUGCCUCCCAGAUGUGGAGACGUAAAGCUACUUCUUCCGAAGGAUUUGAAUCCUGCACUUCAGAGAGAUGCAGAAGAAGCAUCAUCACCUGGCACAAUGUUGCAGGGAGAUUGAACUAAACUGUUGCAAGGCUGCCCUCAACUGAGGAGCCUCAUGCCUCUUGUGUGAGGAACCAUUUCACAUGUUACUGAUGUUGAUGAAGACAAGGCCUUCCUAAUUAAAGGCUUCCAAAUGUUUCUCAUUGUGAGGUGUGAUGGAGCUGGGAUGUGAUGCACCUGGUAGUGCUGCCAGCAAAGGGUGACGCUUGCGUGGAGUUUGAGAAAUAAAAUGGAUGUGUCUGAGGAAGGGACUGUGCUGUCUGCAGCCUCACUGGGUGAAGAAACAACCCUGAAAUUAGCAUAUGAAGAAUUGAGAAGGUGGAAGAUGGCUGAUAAAUGGGUUACACUUGAAUGAACAGCAUUAAAAAAGCCAUUUGUUUUUACCUCACUUGUAAUGUUGGCCUGAUGCUGAUUGGAGUGAAUAAAAAUCUGUAAACUU
Molecule: non-coding RNA, 656 nt
Organism: Lonchura striata (white-rumped munia)
Lineage: Eukaryota; Metazoa; Chordata; Aves; Passeriformes; Estrildidae
Source: RefSeq, a predicted model, not a curated record